UUUGGUGGCGAUAGCGAAGAGGUCACACCCGUUCCCAUGCCGAACACGGAAGUUAAGCUCUUCAGCGCCGAUGGUAGUCGGGGGUUUCCCCCUGUGAGAGUAGGACGCCGUA
RNAcentral lists this ribosomal RNA (112 nucleotides) under Bacillus spizizenii. Lineage: Bacteria; Bacillati; Bacillota; Bacilli; Caryophanales; Bacillaceae. The record is from RNAcentral.